RNAcentral lists this ribosomal RNA (540 nucleotides) under uncultured Geobacteraceae bacterium. RNAcentral describes it as "bacterial SSU rRNA". It matches the Rfam family "Bacterial small subunit ribosomal RNA", at positions 9 to 526 of the family's 1533-position model. The record is from RNAcentral. Lineage: Bacteria; Pseudomonadati; Thermodesulfobacteriota; Desulfuromonadia; Geobacterales; Geobacteraceae.
GAGUUUGAUCCUGGCUCAGAACGAACGCUGGCGGCGUGCCUAACACAUGCAAGUCGAACGUGAUCCAGAGCUUGCUCUGGUGAAAGUGGCGCACGGGUGAGUAACGCGUGGAUAACCUACCCUGGUAUCCGGGAUAACAUUCCGAAAGGGGUGCUAAUACCGGAUAAGCCCACGGGCUCUUUGGAGCUUGCGGGAAAAGGUGGCCUCUAUUUAUAAGCUACUGUAUCAGGAUGGGUCCGCGUACCAUUAGCUAGUUGGCGGUGUAACGGACCACCAAGGCGACSAUGGUUAGCUGGUCUGAGAGGAUGAUCAGCCMCMCUGGAACUGAGACACGGUCCAGACUCCUACGGGAGGCAGCAGUGGGGAAUUUUGCGCAAUGGGGGAAACCCUGACGCAGCAACGCCGCGUGAGUGAUGAAGGCCUUUGGGUCGUAAAGCUCUGUCAGAGGGGAAGAAAUGAUAUAGUGCUAAUACCACUUUAUCUUGACGGUACCCUCAAAGGAAGCACCGGCUAACUCCGUGCCAGCAGCCGCGGUAAUAC